RNAcentral lists this ribosomal RNA (504 nucleotides) under uncultured bacterium. RNAcentral's name for it is "partial 16S ribosomal RNA". It matches the Rfam family "Bacterial small subunit ribosomal RNA", at positions 28 to 506 of the family's 1533-position model. The record is from RNAcentral.
GACGAACGCUGGCGGCGUGCCUAAUACAUGCAAGUAGAACGCACAGUUUAUACCGUAGCUUGCUACACCAUAGACUGUGAGUUGCGAACGGGUGAGUAACGCGUAGGUAACCUGCCUGGUAGCGGGGGAUAACUAUUGGAAACGAUAGCUAAUACCGCAUAAUAUUGAUUAUUGCAUGAUAAUUGAUUGAAAGAUGCUAUUGCAUCACUACCAGAUGGACCUGCGUUGUAUUAGCUAGUAGGUGAGGUAACGGCUCACCUAGGCGACGAUACAUAGCCGACCUGAGAGGGUGAUCGGCCACACUGGGACUGAGACACGGCCCAGACUCCUACGGGAGGCAGCAGUAGGGAAUCUUCGGCAAUGGACGAAAGUCUGACCGAGCAACGCCGCGUGAGUGAAGAAGGUGUUCGGAUCGUAAAGCUCUGUUGUAAGAGAAGAACGGGUGUGAGAGUGGAAAGUGCACACUGUGACGGUAUCUUACCAGAAAGGGACGGCUAACUACGU